AUAUUUUUUUUAACUCUUACUAGUUAUUAAUGAGAUUUUCUCUCCUUUUUUUUUUUCAAUUUUUCUUUAUUUUAUAUUUUAAAUCAAUAAUGAUUAGAUUUACUAUCUUUUUAGUAGAUUUGCAUUUGUUGCUUCAAUUUUGAGAAUUUUUGCUUCUCUUAUUUUGGAGGUAAUCAAAUUAGAUUCAUAAGAAGACUAUAGAGCGAAAUAGUAGCUAAAAAUUACUACUAAAUGGAAUGCGAUUCCCAUCAAUUAAUUUGGCGAGUUCAAAUUUUUACUAUUUUAAUAUUUGUCUUUAAAUCAAGAUAGUUGUUUAUAUAUUUAAUUUAUUAUAGGACUUGUGUUAAAUUUAUCUAAUAAAAAAAGGAUUAAUAGUGCAAGAAAGUUUAUUACUUCUGAUUUAUAUCAUUUUUUUUCAAUGAACCUUUAUCUUUCCUUCUUAAAAAGAUUGUAAGAAACCCCGCAAAAUUACACAUUAUCGACUUGUUAUAGUAAAAAUAAUAUAUCUAAAAUCUCCAAUAAAUGAAAGAGAUUAAAUUUGAAAAACUAUUUGAAUAGAUAAAUUUUUUUUACUUAAAUUUGAUUAAUAUAAAUUAAAG
Molecule: unclassified non-coding RNA, 599 nt
Filed under: Hevea brasiliensis (rubber tree)
Lineage: Eukaryota; Viridiplantae; Streptophyta; Magnoliopsida; Malpighiales; Euphorbiaceae
Source: RNAcentral